UAUAGCUCAGUGGUAGAGCACUUGCCUAGCAUGCAUGAGGCCCUGGGUUUGAUACCCAGUA
RNAcentral lists this transfer RNA (61 nucleotides) under Marmota marmota marmota (Alpine marmot). It matches the Rfam family "tRNA", at positions 6 to 65 of the family's 71-position model. From Rfam's summary of the family: Transfer RNA (tRNA) molecules are approximately 80 nucleotides in length. Their secondary structure includes four short double-helical elements and three loops (D, anti-codon, and T loops). The record is from Rfam by way of RNAcentral. RNAcentral also lists the same sequence under 2 other names. Lineage: Eukaryota; Metazoa; Chordata; Mammalia; Rodentia; Sciuridae.